Molecule: long non-coding RNA, 6885 nt
Filed under: Homo sapiens (human)
Lineage: Eukaryota; Metazoa; Chordata; Mammalia; Primates; Hominidae
Description: HSALNT0307921
Source: RNAcentral
UUCACUUUUGGAGAGUGCUAUUGUUUGGGUAGGAUUUUUUAAGCUUAAUUCACAAAGACAUUUUUUAAAUAUUAAAAUUCAUGCCCUUUGAUUGAUCAAGGAGGAGGCAGGAUAAUGUAUUUUUUUCCCCUCGUACCAGAGUUUAAUACAGGCUAUAUCUCCUUUGGCAAAUCACCUAUCCCGAUAAAAAACAAAACUGUUUUUAAAUCUCAGCUCUGUAAUCCUUAGAGCUUAAAGAUAAAGGAAAAAAAAUGACCUUCUUUUUGUCCAUUAGUCAAUUACAGGAAGCAUUAUUCUUUCCAUAUUACCACGUUAUGAAUCUGAUUUCAAAGUAAGUAUUCUAAUGAAAAGAGAAGCACUUAACUUUUUAAAAAAAUUCCAACUGACUCUGCAAAUGAAAUUUUUAAACCAAGGUACCAGGAGAGGAAAAAGACCUUAUGUUCUAAAGCCACCAUCAUAUGAAAUAAAUUAUUCUGUCUUUUAUGUAUCCGAAUGGUAGUAGUUAUAUGCCAUCCUUGGGAGAACUGAAGAAAUGGUCACUCAAGUCAUUCUGUAUGUUUUGUGUUUCUGAGGAGCCCUCACUGAGAAAGGCUGGCAGAGUCAGAAAAAAAAAAUUCGUGUUCUUUAAACAGGGUAUAGUCGGGGUUUUUUUUUUUGUGAUUGGGGCUUUUUAAAAAGAGAGGUACUCUGGAAAAGGAGACAGAACAUAUUUAAGUCCUACUUUUAGCAUGUGAAGGAGCUAGAUUCUACAUUUUCUUAAAUACUCUGAUGAGUUAAAUGGAACUAACACUCAAAUGCCACCAAAUCCCCCCACCACUGAUAGUUAACAAUGACAGCAUCUCCGACUGCUUCUUGCAUCUUUGCUAUCUGCCUGACUCCAUUCUGAGUGCUUUGCAUCAAUUCUCCUGUAAUUCUCUUUAAUAUGAGAUAAGUAUCCCCAGAUUUACAGAUGAAUAAAACUGAGACUCAGCUCACACAGCAGGCCCAAGAUUGUCCAGUUAAAUAAGGAGCACAAGCAGGAUGGAAGCCAGGCCAGUUCAACUCAAAGGGCCUCACUUAACACCAAGGCCUACUCUGAAGGGUGCAAGACUUCAGGCUUGUAUCCUCAGGUGGGCUGUAAAAUAAGAGGCCUGGACUACACUAGCUCUAAAUUUGUUACCCAGUAUGCUACAGUUAAUUUACCAAGAUACAUAGUGCAAAAACAAGGAAAAAGAUUAACGUCACUUUUUACUAUGAUUUUGUAUAAAAUAAUUGGAAUUUAAAAUAGGGCACAAAACAUUAUCUUUAUGAAACACUUGUUUCUGAAUGAAAUGGAGGAUGGUUUUAGCACCCUAAUACUCAGUUUCAAAACUGUAACAAUAAAGUUACACAAGAUGAUAUAAAUUCUAACCCCUGUAGAAAUGUUGGACUGAUUAUCCAAUUUCAGGAGUUACAGUGUGGCUUUAUGUUUGUUUUCUUUAGUGCUUUGCCAUGGUUUUUAUAUAAUAAAUGAAAAACACAAACAAAAAACACAAAACUGAGUUGUGGAGAAUGAUGACUUCGAUGGAACCAUAAAAUCUCCCCUACACUAAAAAGAAAAGAACACACAGCCACUUUACAUCUGCAAUCCACCUUCCUCAGACCUUGGUCUUGCUCUGUCACCCAGGCUGGAGUGCAGUGGUGUGAUCACAGCUCACUGCAGCCUUGACUUCCUUUUGGGCUCAACAGAUCCUCCCAGCUCAGGCUCCCAAGUAACUGGGACUACAGGCGUGUGACACCAUGCCCAGCUAAUGUUAUUUUUUGUAGAGACAAGGUCUCACCAUGUUGCCCAGGCUGAUCUCGAACUCCUGGGCUCAAGACAUCCUCCUGCCUCAGCCUCCCAAAGUGCUGGGAUUAUAGGUGUGAGCCACACCCAGACUAGACUAAUCUUUAAGAAGACAACCUUUGUUUAUAAGAGCAAAAGAUUCUAUUAUAUAAAGGCUGUAUCAGGAGUGCACUUCCAAUUUGAUAUAACUCCAUUUCAUUUGAAAAUCUAUGGUCAUCAGAAAUUUGGGGAGAAAAAUUUCAAUUUGACUAAGAUGUUUAAGGGGGAAUGUUAGUUAUUUUGAAAAUCAUAAACAUCUUGACUUUGCAGGUUUAAUCAUCUGUACACUUCUGAUAUUGUACUGUCAACUUGUAUUUUUAUCAACUUCAAUGGGUCUUGUAGUUAUAAACAGCAUAAUAUAUCAGACUGACAGAAAAAAAGUAAAAUAAGCUGAACUCCUAAUCUAUGCUGGUCAUUGUUGAAGCAAUUGCCAUGUUUUAUCUCAUCUAGUCUUCAUAAAAAACCCUAAGAAGCAGGUACUAAUAAUAUCCCUAUUUAUAGAUAACAAUACAGAGAUGCAAAAAGUUCUGUAACUUGUCCAAGGCCAUAUAGUUCCAAGUUGCAGAGCCAGGCAAUCUGACUCAGCCUCUGCUCGUAACCACCAUACAAUCCUUAAAGUCCUGUUCCUUUUAUUUUUUUUCUCCCUUGCUUAUGUCUUAGGCCCACCUAGGAACACCCACAGAGGGUUCCUGGCUCAGGUGAUGAUAUUGGGGGGUGCUCAGAAAGUCCAUUGCUGCUAAAACAAUAUAUAGAAACAGGUUACGGUAAUACCAUAAUGACAGUUCCAUAUAACACAAAAUAUUCUCAAGCAUAAGGAUACUUACUUUAAGCAAUAAAGCACAGACCAACAUUUCAAUAAAUCAGAAACUUGAAAUACUAUCUUGGAGACAAUUAUAAUUGAUUUUCCUCAGCCCAUUUCUCUUCUUAGACGACAAGAUUUCCUUGUUGAUCUUAUCCACAUUCCCGAUUUUCACUGCUGCAAAUCUGCAUCCCGUCCUAACCUCUCCUAUAAGCUUCAGACUUACAAUAUUGUGUCAACUGCCUGCUAGACAUCCCCAUCUAGAUGUUUCAAUUUCAAACCAAACAAUCACACCCCCACCCCAUUCUACAUCUCCUUUCUGAAUUUCCUAUUAGAUUUUUGGAAUUACCAUACCAAGCUGGAAAUGUAGGGGUCUCUACCUCACUUCCACAUCCAAAUAAUUCUGUCAAUUUUACCUCCCAGAUCUAUUCCUUCCCUCAAUUUCUGUUGCUACUGCUGCAGUUCAGGCCUGUACCGUCUCUUACUUGGACUAUUUUAAGAACCUUCUCAGUGGGCUCCUGGCUUCAAAGUUACCCUGCAUAGCAACAUUCAAAGCAGGGAGGAACAUAUGAAAAUCUAUGGUCCUCCCUGCUUUGAACCUUGCUAUGGCUACCUACUGCCUCCAGAUGAAAUUCAGGUUACUGAUCCCAGCAUCCAUCUGGCCUCAGUCUCUCCUGUUUUUUCCAACACGCUUCCCUUUAGUAUUCAGCCCCUGCAUCUUACUAAUCUGAGGCUCUUUGGGCCUAAAUAACUGUUCAACUAAAUUGAACAAAUGUCUAGGAUUUUGAUUUUUAAGUAAUAUAGAAUAAUACUUGGUCCUCUAGAGCAUGUAGAAUUCAUAAUUCCAAAUUUACUAUGAGAAUUAAGUCAUCUUUUAAAACAUUUUUAUUGUGGUAAAAACCAUUUUUAAAGAAGAAUUAAUCCUCCCUUAAGGAAUCAGAAUGGGGAAAAAGUUAUUUAAGGUCUACCAUCUUUUUGCUUUUUAAUCAAUAAUUGAGUUAUUCUAUUUGUAUUCUGUUUCUUCACAGUAUCAAUUGCCAUCAGGAGUCUUUGUAAGUAGUGAAGAGUGGUGGAUCAGGAUCUCAUCAGAGGCAGGCACCAAUCUGACUUAAUUCAGGGACUUGGUUAGGUAGGUGACAGAAAAGCUGGGAAGCCAGACCACUGUGAGAACCACAGGCAGCCUCUCCACGGCCUUGGGCAGAAGAAUAAAGAGAGGAGAGAAUGUUGUUGGAGCUCAGGGCCACCCACAGUGGGUGGGGCAUAGGUGAGACGCAGCAGCUCACAGAGGUCUCUAGAGCUGAGGAGACAAGGCUGAGAGUCUGGGAAGCGGGACAGAGUACCCACGUGGAGAAAGCUACAGAGAGAGAGGACUGUAGAGAUCUGUAGCUUCCCUAGAGUCUUCAGCUGAGUACUGACCAGCACAUGUACAUAAGUAAACUACAAGAGGCCAGAGAGAGGACUAGAGGGAACCAUCUCCAAAUCUUACACAAACAUGCUGCAUGAGCUGGAAAGAGAAAUAUAAAUGCCCUGCUUUCCCCCCAACCCCCGCCCCUCCUCCUUUCCUGUAAUCCUCCCCUUACCUAUGCCUCCCAUUAGCCUGGUGGUUCUCAACCUUGGCUGCACAAACUAGAAUCAACUAGGAAGCUGUAAAAACGUUGAAUGCCUCGGUACACCCCUAGAAAGACUGAUGUAAUUGGUCUGGGUGCAACCUGGGCAUUAGGAGCUUUAAAAGCUCUCUUGGUGAGUUGAGAACCAAUACAUUAGCCGAACCCAAGUAGAAGACACGAGAACAGACCCUGGAAAACAUAGCCUACAGAAAUCAGCACCCUUUCAUACGGGGCAAGGAGAGGAUCUGAGAGCCUGUGGGCCUAAGAUCAGCAAAGAUGGCACAAAGAGAUGGGUAGAAAUAAGAUGAUGAGAAGAAGGAGAAAAAAAAGUAGGCAUGAUCUUCCUUAAACCCUUCAGUGGCCAGCUCACAUUGAACACCCGGCUGCAGAGUUUCUUCCCUCUUAUAAUACUUACUGCUAUUCCUCCAGUGACCAGACUAUCAUGUGCCACCUCCCAUGUGUCCUUGGCUGUGCUGAAGCCCAGCAUCUUGCUAUCUGUUCUGGUUCAUCCUGCAGCAUCCCAUCAGGAAACCCUGGUGUUCCUCCUCUUACUAGCUGCAUCAGGUAUUUUCUUCUUUCCCAAACUGACUGGCUAGUUCAUUUGUAUAUUUUGCUAAUAUUAAGUAGUAAUUGAUGGCUAAUAAUAGGUAAUGUAACCCCCCCGGAUAAUAUUUGCAUGGCAAAACAGACCUUGAGUGUAAGAAUUUCAGGGCAAAGUCACAGAUUGAUUGAAUAGAUUUUUCUGUGUCCCUUAAAAUGUAAAUAAAUUUAAAUCAAAUAACAUAGGGGAUGGCCUAACAUUGGAAAGUAAUGAUUUACAAAUUUACAAAUGAUUUACUGCAAUGUAUUUUGAUUAUAAUCCUACUCAUAGCUGCUAAAAUGUUAAGCAAUGUGAAGAUACCUUAAGAUACAUUUAUAUCCUGUUAAUCAUUUAUAGCCUAAAAAUAUACUUGCUGUAAAUUCCAAAGUCUUAUGAUUUUGGAUCAAAAGAAAUUUAUUUUUAAAAGUGGAAAUAUUUAGCAUUAUUAUCCUAUUUGCCUGAGAAAGUCACCUUCCAGAGAAGGACAAAAUCCAAGGUCAAAAUCAGAAAUCAGAUACUCUAUGUGUGUGUGUUUAGACUGACAGGUCAGUCCCUGAGAAACUGGUUGUAUAUUGUGAAACUGUUAAAAUACUGAGUUCAAAACUGGACAUGCUAUUUUUAAAAAACUAUUUUCUGGUAUGAAUCUUUCUUAUUAUUACUCUAGAUGAAGAAUUUGUGAAUCUCCACAAAUAUAUGGUAGUGCCAACUCCUAAAAACAAACUUCCAACAGGACAACCACAAAGUACUGAAAUAAUAUACAUGCAUGCAUAAAGGCCAUGGGCAGAUCUACUUCUGUGAUCCUACAAGCAACACAUCAAGGCUCAUAAUUCAGAGAUCAUUUCUCUUCACCAACUACUUAAUGAAUGGUAUUCUUCCAGUGGAAAGUUUAAAUCCCCAAAUCACAACCAAUACCACCUGACUGAGCUCCCAAAAUUAUCACUAAAAGGAACAGAUCCAUUCUACCUAAGUAUGUGGACAUAUUCUCAUUUUAGCUAUCAGACUCUUUUAAAAGCACUUGAAAUAAUUAAUACAUUUUAAUGGACAGAAUGAAAAUUCAAAACAGGUAAAUGACCACAUACUGAUGGAAUUCCCACAGACUCUUGGGAGCAAUAUGACCAUAACAGCCAUCUUCUUCCAUCACAUUAUUAAACAAGAAAUGGAAGAUGCUUUUUGUCCGUAAAAACCAGAAAAUUAAGGUUAAGUGAAUUUUGAAAUGAUGAGUAACUAAUACUACACAGGAAAGAAACACACAAGUCUAAGCUUACCAAAGGAGUAGUAAACCCACUAGGAUUUUAUCAUGAAAAUGCUGCAUAUGUCUCAGACAAAAGGCAAAGGUAGAAGAGAACCAUCUUUUCUUAGCAUGUGGAAAUAACCUAACAAUUCCUUUGAAAAUAGAACCUAUCUAUACACAUGCAACAAAUCUGCACGUUGUGCACGUGUACCCUAAAACUUAAAGUAUAAUAAAAAAAUAAACAAAUAAAACGUGAAAAAAAAGAAAAUAGAACCUAAACACAUACUCUGUACUGAGUCAGUGUUCAACUCAUGCUAUUGACUUAUUAAAUAAUGAUGUCUAAGAACUCCACGCAUUGGUAAGACCUAACUGGGUACCUUUCUGGGAAUGAAUAACAGUGAUUUUAAAGACAUUAUUAACUGCAGUGAGAUUUGCUCAUCUGCCCAAGCUGAAGGGAGGCAUCUGAUUCAUCUCGGUCAAUUUAAACAGCUCAGAUAAUCUAAACAUGGUGUGGACAAAAUUAAAGGGCAUUCCGAGUCCUUAAUAUUAUGUGGGCUCUCUUUCAGAAUGGUCUUACAAAAUGUGCCUCAGGGGUUCUGUGGGUCCAGGAAAUAUCCACACAGUCCCUGACUUUGGUGGUGACAACAAAGGGAUCGAAGAUCUGAGAAAGGGAAGGAACAGAACACCACCUCCCGAAGCAAAACCAAACCAACAAGAAAAAAUACUCACAAUUGCUUAAAGAAAUGGUUGAUACUAGGUUGAAACUUUAAAUUAGAAAAUAUUUUCUUCAGUUAAUAGAAAGGAAAUAAAGGAUUGUCAAAUCUU